This 537-nucleotide long non-coding RNA is filed under the name Pongo abelii (Sumatran orangutan). Its description in RNAcentral is "lincRNA". The record is from RNAcentral. Lineage: Eukaryota; Metazoa; Chordata; Mammalia; Primates; Hominidae.
AUAACACACAAUAUAGACUUCAAAAACUCAGAGCUUUUGCUGGGGAUAUAUGCUCCUUCCAAAGGAGAUUGCAUGCAGUAUUCUGAGAAAUAAUUCCUCCAAAGGUGGAUAUUGAGGGAGAAACAGUAAAAUCCAAGACAAUCUCCUGUGGAAGAAAAUUCUCCAACCCAAAGCUCAACCAAACCCAAAGCGCAACCCAAAGCACUGAACAGCACAUCAAUUAAGACCUGUCAAAUAUAAUCACACAAUCUAAUAUUUUUAAACAUGCAAAAUGAAGAGCACCAAAGUCAAUGUCAUUCAGAAAUAACAACAACAAAACCAGAGCACCCUAUACAAUUAGGCCUCAAGGAAUUCCAAAGUAGUGUAUUAGGUAUAGAAAAUAUAUAUGUAAUUAGAAACAUUUACAGAAAGUUAACAAUUUCAGUAAAGAAGAAAAUAAAAAUUCAAUGUUUGAUAUACAUAUAUAAAAAUAAAUUUCAGGAAAAUGAAAGGUCCAUGUGAUGACAGAAUCCAAAUUAUAUAAAAGAUAGAAAUUUC